This is a non-coding RNA of Tinamus guttatus (white-throated tinamou), 402 nucleotides long. Lineage: Eukaryota; Metazoa; Chordata; Aves; Tinamiformes; Tinamidae. The record is from RefSeq and is a predicted model, not a curated record.
CGGCGCCGACGUGCGCGUGGAGCGGCGCUUCGUGCCCGCGCGCUGCCCGCGCGCCGUGCGCCACGGGGACUUCGUGCGCUACCACUACCACGGUGCCUUCGCCGACGGCACCCGCUUCGACUCCAGCUAUGACAGGGGCUCCACGUUCAAUGUGUUCGUGGGGAAGGGGCAGCUCAUUGCCGGCAUGGACAAGGCCCUGGUCGGCAUGUGCGUGAACGAGCGGCGCUUCGUGCAGAUCCCGCCCCAGCUCGCCUACGGAAGCGACGGCGUCGCCGGCGUGAUCCCGCCGAACGCUGUGCUCCACUUCGACGUGCUCCUCAUAGACCUGUGGAAUUCCGAGGAUGAAGUGCAGAUUCAGACCUACUUUAAGCCCGAGGCUUGUCCGCGCACCGUGCAGGUGUC